This 359-nucleotide ribosomal RNA is filed under the name Stenopus hispidus (banded coral shrimp). RNAcentral's name for it is "eukaryotic LSU rRNA". The stretch from base 272 to 359 matches the Rfam family "Eukaryotic large subunit ribosomal RNA", at positions 813 to 900 of the family's 3401-position model. The record is from RNAcentral. Lineage: Eukaryota; Metazoa; Arthropoda; Malacostraca; Decapoda; Stenopodidae.
UGAAAGUGAACUUCACUGAUUGGCUUUGACGAGUAGUAGAUUCCUCGAGUGGUGUUUCCCUUUGUCGUCGGCUUGGGCGAUUUUGGGGAGGACUUGCUUGGGGUUUUGAAGGCCGUCUGUAAUUGCCUGUUGGGUUGAUCCCUGCAUCUGAUCGUUGGGGCGCAAACCCCGGACUUGCAAAUUGUAUGCAAUAACUUGUUAUUCGGCUUUUUCCUUGAUUGAGGUUGCUGGUAGUGUUUUUGUGGGCAAGUACCGUGAGUGUACAUGCUAGGACCCGAAAGAUGGUGAACUAUGCCUGGCCAGGGUGAAGCCAGAGGAAACUCUGGUGGAGGCUCGAAGCGAUUUUGACGUGCAAAUCG